GGGGUUGUGGCGCAAUGGCUAGCGCGUCGGAUUCCAGUCCCGAAGGAUGCCUGUUCGAGUCGGGCCAACCUCA
Diaporthe sp. PMI_573 is the source of this 73-nucleotide non-coding RNA. NCBI's taxonomy places the organism in Eukaryota, Fungi, Ascomycota, Sordariomycetes, Diaporthales, Diaporthaceae. The record is from the annotation of a GenBank genome assembly.